This 605-nucleotide ribosomal RNA is filed under the name uncultured bacterium. RNAcentral describes it as "bacterial SSU rRNA". It matches the Rfam family "Bacterial small subunit ribosomal RNA", at positions 202 to 803 of the family's 1533-position model. The record is from RNAcentral.
CAAAGGAAGCGAUUCCGGCGGGGGAUGGGCAUGCGGCGCAUUAGCUAGUCGGCGGGGUAACGGCCCACCGAGGCGACGAUGCGUAGGGGUUCUGAGAGGAAGGUCCCCCACACUGGUACUGAGACACGGACCAGACUCCUACGGGAGGCAGCAGUGAGGAAUAUUGGUCAAUGGGCGGGAGCCUGAACCAGCCAAGUCGCGUGAGGGAAGACGGUCCUAUGGAUUGUAAACCUCUUUUGCCGGGGAGCAACGGGGUCCUUGCGAGGGCCUAAUGAGAGUACCCGGAGAAAAAGCAUCGGCUAACUCCGUGCCAGCAGCCGCGGUAAUACGGAGGAUGCGAGCGUUAUCCGGAUUUAUUGGGUUUAAAGGGUGCGUAGGCGGGCUGUUAAGUCAGCGGUCAAAUGUCGGGGCUCAACCCCGGCCUGCCGUUGAAACUGGUGGCCUCGAGUGGGCGAGAAGUAUGCGGAAUGCGUGGUGUAGCGGUGAAAUGCAUAGAUACCACGCAGAACUCCGAUUGCGAAGGCAGCAUACCGGCGCCCGACUGACGCUGAGGCACGAAAGCGUGGGUAUCGAACAGGAUUAGAUACCCUGGUAGUCCACGCAGU